AUUGAACGCUGGCGGAAUGCUUUACACAUGCAAGUCGAACGGCAGCACGGGGGCAGCCCUGGUGGCGAGUGGCGAACGGGCGAGUAAUACAUCGGAACGUGCCCGGCCGCGGGGGAUAACGUAGCGAAAGUUACGCUAAUACCGCAUACGAUCUGAGGAUGAACGCGGGGGACCUUCGGGCCUCGGGCGCUCGCGCGGUCCGAUGUCCGAUUAGGUAGUUGGUGGGGUAAAGGCCUACCAAGCCGACGAUCUGUAGCUGGUCUGAGAGGACGACCAGCCACACUGGAACUGAGACACGGCCCAGACUCCUACGGGAGGCAGCAGUGGGGAAUUUUGGACAAUGGGCGCAAGCCUGAUCCAGCCAUUCCGCGUGGAGGACGAAGGCCUUCGGGUCGUAAACUGCUUUUGUACGGAACGAAAAGGCUCUGGCUAAUACCUGGGGCUCAUGACGGUACCGUAAGAAUAAGCACCGGCUAACUACGUG
Molecule: ribosomal RNA, 484 nt
Filed under: uncultured bacterium
Lineage: Bacteria
Description: partial 16S ribosomal RNA
Rfam family: Bacterial small subunit ribosomal RNA
Source: RNAcentral